GAGAAACCCUGUCUUGAAAAACCAAAAAAAAGGGGAGAAAAAAAAAAGAUUGCUAUAGCAAGAAAGUCUAACCUAUUCCGGUGUUCUCUUCCUCAUGAGACAAGCCGUUAUAAAGGCUCAAACAAU
Peromyscus eremicus (cactus mouse) is the source of this 126-nucleotide small nucleolar RNA. RefSeq annotates it as small nucleolar RNA SNORA28. Lineage: Eukaryota; Metazoa; Chordata; Mammalia; Rodentia; Cricetidae. The transcript has a single exon. The record is from RefSeq and is a predicted model, not a curated record.